Molecule: non-coding RNA, 2833 nt
Organism: Myodes glareolus (Bank vole)
Lineage: Eukaryota; Metazoa; Chordata; Mammalia; Rodentia; Cricetidae
Source: RefSeq, a predicted model, not a curated record
AGCCGCCUCUGAGUCCUUCGACAGAGGCAGAUGGAGGUGAGGGGGUUUACCCCGCGCCCAGCAGCUACCUAGUUCCUGUAGCACAUAGUGAGUGGAGCGCGGAACAGAACCGGUGCAGCUUUACAAAUGGGGGCAACUGAUUUGAAGGCAAUUCAAGGCACACCAGGAUCCAGGAACCCGGUCCACAUACGACAGACAGCCUCGCUUCUCAGGAUCGCUGGUCCCUCCAUCCCAAACCGGCACGACUGCGAUCCUGCUUGAUUAAAAAGCCAUUGGAUCUUGUUCUGCUUCACGCAUGGGAAUAAGUCUACCAGAAAAUCUGCUUCCUAACACUCUUCUAUCGUGAUAUUUUACGGGACCUUUGCAAUAUUCUGCCAGCUAUACUGAUCUCUGUUGCAGGAGGCAUGUUUGCUCAAUAGCAGAGCUCACUGAAAGGUAAUCACUUCACCCUGGGACCCUACCCACCUGCCCCACCCCCAACAGAUCUGUUCUUUUCCACCUGCAACAAAUCUGCUUUCUUGUUUACGGGUGGCUCCGUCUUCCAUUCAAUAUUGUCAUUUGGGUCUCUGGUGGGGCUACCCGCCUCUGACCUUUCCCGAGGCUUCCUUUCCCAAGCACAGUCUUCUCCUCACCUUCUGGCUUUUCUUGAAGUCCUGGGACCAGGUGACCGUGUGUCUCUCAGGCUCAGAGCCCUUGGUCCCCACCCUUUGUGUGCCUAUCUCGAAACUGACCCUCUCUGAAUUCCUGGAACACUGAGAAUUGCAGACCUUUGGGUCUUCUGAUACCUCCUUGCUCCCAUUGGGAUGUUUUUGGAGACCCACUGACCAUUCCUAAUCAGCUAGUGUUGCAGGACUACCAGCUGCUGGCCAAAGAGCUGGAGGUGCAAGGACCAUCAAACAUGUCCAGGUGAUGUGUGGUGAUGGGAAAGGAUCAGGUGCUUUGAGCCCUCGGGAGUUGAUUUGGAUCCACGUUGGACAGCAUUUUGCCAGAUCCAAGCAGCACCUGACAGUUCCACAGAGCAUGAACAGUGAAGUGAAAACAGUUAGCUACUCCAGGAUGUGGCCAGCACCCCAGCAUUCCCAGGUCCCCCAAAGAUGAAAAACGCCCAAGUCAGCAGGAAGUAGUCCUGAGAACAUGGCGUCCUCAUCCCUGCCUUACCUGCUACCCCUUUCUAACUCCUCACCUUUUAAAAAUAAAUGAAAAGGGAAGCAUGCUAGUAUUCAAGCCUCUAUGCAGCAGCCCCACCAGAGACCAAACUGACAAUUUUGAAUGGAAGGCAAAGCUACCAGUGAAGGAGAGAGCAGGUCUGUUGAGGGUGGAGCAGGUGGAUAGGGUCAGGGAGCUCUGCUACACUUGGGAUGUGCGUCCUCAGCUGCAGCCACUAAGAGCACCAACUGUGCACAAUCACUAUGGUCCCUUUUAAGAGCCAUAUCCACCUCCCAUCCCUCCAUCUGUCUCCAUCUGCCUGUCCAUCUGACCCCUUUCUCUUCUGUCCCCAGAGGCCAGUAUCCCCUCUUCCUUCCCCCAUUUUCCCAUUCACUUUCUCCCAAUAAAAUCCUCUCCACCUGAGCUCCACUGAGCUCCAGUGCAUGGUGUCUUUCUCAUGCCACUUUUUCUAAAUUACAACAUCCAUUUCCACUCCCUCCCCUCCUCCAGCUUCACCCUUCCUCCCUAGCCCCCCAUUCUCUCCUCAGAAAGGGUAAGGCUUCCCAAGGGGAAUCACCGAAGUCUGACACUUCUCUUUGAGGCAAGACCAAUGCCCUCCCUCCUAUAUCUAGGCUGAACAAGGUAUUCCUCCAAAGAGAAUGUGCCAAUUCAAGCAGUAGGGAUUAAUUCUGGUCCCGCUGCCAGGGGCCCCCCAGUCUGCCCAAGCCUCACAACUGUCCCCCACAUUCAGUGGUCCUAUGCAGGUUCCCCCACUAUCAGUCCAGAGUCAGUGAGCUCUCACUAGCUCAGACGAAAAGCCUCAAAAAUCACUCAAGAACAACAAAAGCCCCCCCCAAAUCUCUCAAGGGAGAAAUAACCUGCAGAGGAAAUUAUGUGUUCACACAGGUAUUAUUUAUAAGAUGGAAUGCCACCUAGAAAAGCCUUGGCAGAUGUGUGCAUAUGUGUGCUUGUGUAAAAUAUCUCUUAUAUGGGAGUAGUGACGUACAACUUUAACUCCAGUACUUGGGAGGCAGAGGCAGGCUAAUCUCUCAGUUGGAGGCCAGCCUGGUCUACAGAGAGAGUUCCAGGACAGUCGGGGCUACACAAAAAACAAAACAAUCACCUCCCCGCCAAAACCCAAACCAAGCAACCAACCAAAACAAAACAAAAAAUAAAUCACCUUAUUAAGAUGAACAGCUGUAAAAUGCCUGUUGGAAUACCUACUAAGUCAUGAGGUGAAUAUAUCUGGGAAAAGAAAACCCUUUUAUUUUAGCUGAGGAGUUACUGGCAAGUGAUGGUUGUGGGGGAUGGGUAGCAAUUUUCAUCAGGGGUGUGGCUGCUGGUAGGCUGCCCUUGUGACACAGGCAGCAGUGAUUGGAUUUGAUGGGCUGCAAGAAAAAUUUACAAAGAUGUCAAGGUGCGAGGGUUACCUGGGAGGGGUCUGGGAGAGUGGGGGGAAUUAGGAGUGGGUAGGAUCAAGAUAUACUGUAUAUAUGUAAGAAACUAUCUAAGAGUAACUAUUUAAAAAUAAACUUUUUAAAAGAAAAAAGAAUACUCAAUAAGCUAUUAACAAUGGUUCACAGGAAAGUGGGUUAUGAGUGGGCACUUAUCAUGUUCAAUACUCCUGGGCUUUAAAAAGUAUUUUUAUUUUUGUAAAUGUGUGUGCCUGUGAGUAUGCACAUGUGUA